This 303-nucleotide ribosomal RNA is filed under the name uncultured bacterium. Its description in RNAcentral is "partial 16S ribosomal RNA". It matches the Rfam family "Bacterial small subunit ribosomal RNA", at positions 507 to 807 of the family's 1533-position model. The record is from RNAcentral.
AGCAGUCGCCGCGGUAAUACGGAGGGUGCAAGCGUUAAUCGGAAUUACUGGGCGUAAAGCGCACGCAGGCGGUUUGUUAAGUCAGAUGUGAAAUCCCCGAGCUUAACUUGGGAACUGCAUUUGAAACUGGCAAGCUAGAGUCUUGUAGAGGGGGGUAGAAUUCCAGGUGUAGCGGUGAAAUGCGUAGAGAUCUGGAGGAAUACCGGUGGCGAAGGCGGCCCCCUGGACAAAGACUGACGCUCAGGUGCGAAAGCGUGGGGAGCAAACAGGAUUAGAUACCCCGGUAGUCCCUGUCUCUUAUAC